This is a long non-coding RNA of Neogale vison (American mink), 322 nucleotides long. RefSeq lists it as uncharacterized. Lineage: Eukaryota; Metazoa; Chordata; Mammalia; Carnivora; Mustelidae. The record is from RefSeq and is a predicted model, not a curated record. The transcript is spliced from 3 exons.
CUGGAAGGAGAAGAGGCAUGUGCUCUCACACAGCACGGUGAGGUUCAGACCUAGGACCCUGGUGGGAGCCUGGAGGUCAAGAGAUGAGUUUCUAGGAUCAGCUCACAUCAGGAGGACCACCCAAAAGAAGAGAGGACACAAAAUUCCUGUUCUGACCCACAAACUGGUCAGAUUUGGCUCGAGGACCCUUGUGGGAGCCAAGAGGGCAGCAGAUGUUUCUGACCAGUGAGUAGAUUUGGGUGGGUGGAUGGGAGGAGCUUGUCAAACAGAUACUGGGAUAUAAGAGAUCACAGAUCUAGAGGACCAUAACAUUAGAAGGGAG